UCACUAGCAUUAUAUGCUUCUCCCCAAAAAGAAACGAGAAGAAGAAAUUUGUUAUUGAUAGUAUGGAGCAGAAACCUAUUCUUCUUUGCCUUAUGGUGCUUCUGCUGCUGGGAAAUUGUACUCAUGCUGGUACGAAAUCGAUCUCCAUGUACUUAUUUUGCUUUCUCCUGCCGAUUAUAGUAUAGUAACAUUGGCAGUUGAGCGGCAUGAUUUUCAUUAGAACUUCCUCAAUUUAAAAUUCUUUCAAUGAUGUAUGUUCUUGUGUACAGAGAAUUGCAAAACUGAAACAGCUUUUGGAACCACCCUAUGCGCAUUUGUUACUUGCCUGAGCACCUGCAUAUCUGUGUGGGGGAAUCUUGUGAAACAAGCAGAUUGUAAGCCUGUCAGACCUUCCUAUACAAUUUGUACUUGUCUCGUAUGUGUCUAGAAUUACACUUUGCCAUCAUUUCGAACAAUGGGCAAUGAUGUGAUCCAGUAAUAAAAUCUUCUUGUCAAAUGGAUGUGAGGAUGUAUGAGAUCACUAAAUUUGGAUGUUAUGGUGAUCUGAUUUUACUCUGUUUUGUGUAGUCUUAGAAUCGAUGAUUUUAUGUUUGUAUGGACCCGUGUUCAAAAGUUUAUAAACAACCAUAUACGACCUGAAUGAACAAAACUUACUAUACUGGCACCCGCGUUUGGCAACAUCAUUUGACUCG
Molecule: long non-coding RNA, 692 nt
Filed under: Triticum aestivum (bread wheat)
Lineage: Eukaryota; Viridiplantae; Streptophyta; Magnoliopsida; Poales; Poaceae
Description: long non-coding RNA (TAES_LNC000969)
Source: RNAcentral